GACGGAGGGUGCAAACGUUGUUCGGAAUUACUGGGCGUAAAGCGCGUGUAGGCGGCCCUGCAAGUCGGGUGUGAAAUCCCACGGCUCAACCGUGGAAGUGCACUCGAAACUGCAGGGCUAGAGUCCUGGAGAGGAAGGUGGAAUGCUUGGUGUAGAGGUGAAAUUCGUAGAUAUCAAGCGGAACACCGGUGGCGAAGGCGGCCUUCUGGACAGUGACUGACGCUGAGACGCGAAAGCGUGGGGAGCAAACAGG
This 253-nucleotide ribosomal RNA is filed under the name uncultured bacterium. RNAcentral's name for it is "partial 16S ribosomal RNA". It matches the Rfam family "Bacterial small subunit ribosomal RNA", at positions 524 to 776 of the family's 1533-position model. The record is from RNAcentral.